AUUGAUGGCUGUGCGGUUGCACAAAAUCUAUAGGUUUUUGUGAGGAAAGUCCGAGCUCCAUAAAAACAUAGUGCUGGGUAAUACCCAGCAGAAGUAAUUCUAGGGAAAGUGCCACAGAGAAUAUACCGCCAAAAGAUUUUGGUAAGGGUGAAAAGGUAAGGUAAGAGCUUACCGGUAGUUUGGUAAUAAAUUACGCAUGGUAAACCCCACUAGGAGCAAGACCAAAUAGAAGCAAUACAUAACUGGAAUAAUGUUAUAAUAGAUGUUUUUAUCUAGUUGCUUGGGUAGGUCGCUUGAGGUAAAUAGUAAUAUUUAUCCCAGAUAAAUAACCGUAAUAUUUUACAGAACUCGGCUUAUAGGCCAUCAAUAUAA
This 372-nucleotide RNase P RNA is filed under the name Orientia chuto str. Dubai. RNAcentral's name for it is "Orientia chuto str. Fuller Bacterial RNase P class A". It matches the Rfam family "Bacterial RNase P class A". Rfam says of the family: Ribonuclease P (RNase P) is a ubiquitous endoribonuclease, found in archaea, bacteria and eukarya as well as chloroplasts and mitochondria. Its best characterised activity is the generation of mature 5'-ends of tRNAs by cleaving the 5'-leader elements of precursor-tRNAs. Cellular RNase Ps are ribonucleoproteins. The record is from Rfam by way of RNAcentral. Lineage: Bacteria; Pseudomonadati; Pseudomonadota; Alphaproteobacteria; Rickettsiales; Rickettsiaceae.